Molecule: ribosomal RNA, 36 nt
Filed under: Hyaloscypha hepaticicola
Lineage: Eukaryota; Fungi; Ascomycota; Leotiomycetes; Helotiales; Hyaloscyphaceae
Description: partial 28S ribosomal RNA
Source: RNAcentral
GUUGACCUCGGAUCAGUAGGAUACCCGCUGAACUUA